AUUAUUUUAUUUUAUACGCGCGAAAAUAAUUGCUGUCCAAUCCGUAUAAUAUUGGGUAUGGUUUAGCUCGGUAUUAAAAUAUUUAUCCAAUAUAAUAUAUAUUUUAUUCCAUCGUAUAUUUAAUUAUAAAAAAUUGGUCCAAUAAUCGCGCGCGCGAUUUGUUAAAAUUUCGGGGAAAAUUGCAUAAUAUUAAUUUACCGAAAUUCCUCGUUUAUCGUACGUUUGGACGAAAAUUUUAAUUUUAUCCAGGAAUAUAUUAUACGGUUUUUCCGUAUAAUUAUUUGCCUAUUUUUAUAUUUUAAUAAAACGGUUUACCGUUAUAGGGUUUAAUAGUUCGUUUGGUAUUAAUCGCACGGGUGGUAAUUCGUAUUUUAAUAUUCCUGGCUUUGGGCUAACCGCGUGGUGCGUAUCCCUUCCCGGGGCAAAUUGCGGGUAAAUUUGCAUUUCCCGUAUUAAUUUAUUCCCGGGUAUAAUUAUUAUAUUUUUCCCCGGUUUGUGCGUAUAAAUAAUCCCCUAUUCCGGAAUUGGGUGGUUAAUAUUUUACGCGCGUUAUAAUCCUGCGGAUGGGUUUUAAUAUCCGUUAUAUUCCACAAAUUAAAACAUAAUUUGUAAUAAUGCGGUUAUUGCGCGCUGGCCUUUUUUUAUUUAUUUUUCCUUUUUUUAAAAAAAACGCACGAAUUUGUCGUUAAUUUUUCUCCCCUAAAUAGGUCCGCACAUUUUUUUUAACAAAUUAAUAUAUAUUUUGCGGAUUUCGCGCGACAUUUGGUCGAAUUGGUAAUUUAUCCAACCCUCCAAUUUUUUUUAAAAACGUUCGCGCAACCGUUAUUUUGGGGUUAUUUUUCCCGCUAUUUGUAUUUUGCGCACGUUAAUUAUAACCUCGUAAUACAAUUAUAUAAAAUAAAUGGAUACCACCUUUGGUUCCAGGGGUUGCGUAAAAUCGGGUAAUAAUUAAUCCCAUACGUGCGGAUCGAUAUAUUUUAAUUAUUGGAUAUCGUUUAUUCCGUUCGUUUCGAUUAUUUUUAUCCAUAUUGGCGUACGCAGCAAUUUCGCGAUAGGUAAUUGUUGCUUUUCGAAUUCGUGCUAAUUUUUAUCGCGCGUUGGUGGUAUAUUAUUUGUUAAUAUUAUUUUUGCAACGGUUCGUUAUUUGGAUAAAAAUUAUAUAAUUUUCGCACGAUAGCGUGCAAUUUAGUUUUUUAAUAUAAAAACGCUAAAUUCGUCCGGUUUUUAAAUUUUUGGUUUUUCCAAUGGGAAAAUAUCCAAUUUAAAUUUCGGGCAAUAAUAUAAACCGAAUUCCAGCGUUUAAACAAUUAAUGGGUUGGAUUUUCGUACGCGCGGUUUAUUUUUUUACGUAACCAAUUUGUAAACGUCGUACAAUUGGUAAUCGUAUUUCUAUUUACUAAUUAAUAUUUAUAAAUUCGUGGAUUUACGUAAUAUAUCCGUGGUAAAUUUAUUUAUAUAGUAAAAACGUUAUAUUUUUGUUAUUUAAAUAUAUUCGGUUUAUUUUUUAUUUAAAUCGUGCGAUUACAAUUUAACGUUUA
Molecule: small RNA, 1538 nt
Filed under: Pyricularia oryzae
Lineage: Eukaryota; Fungi; Ascomycota; Sordariomycetes; Magnaporthales; Pyriculariaceae
Description: Magnaporthe oryzae sRNA M_BR32_EuGene_00135741
Source: RNAcentral